UACGGAAGGCAGCAGUGGGGAAGUAUUGCACAAUGGGCGCAAGCCUGAUGCAGCCAUGCCGCGUGUAUGAAGAAGGCCUUCGGGUUGUAAAGUACUUUCAGUCGUGAGGAAGGUGUUAAGGUUAAUAACCUUAGCAAUUGACGUUAGCGACAGAAGAAGCACCGGCUAACUCCGUGCCAGCAGCCGCGGUAAUACGGAGGGUGCGAGCGUUAAUCGGAAUUACUGGGCGUAAAGGGCACGCAGGCGGUUAAUUAAGUUGGAUGUGAAAUCCCCGGGCUUAACCUGGGAAUGGCAUUCAAGACUGGUUAGCUAGAGUCUUGUAGAGGGGGUAGAAUUCCAUGUGUAGCGGUGAAAUGCGUAGAGAUGUGGAGGAAUACCGGUGGCGAAGGCGGCCCCUGGACAAAGCUGAUGCUCAUGUGCGAAAGCGUGGGGAGCAAAAC
RNAcentral lists this ribosomal RNA (440 nucleotides) under uncultured bacterium. Its description in RNAcentral is "bacterial SSU rRNA". It matches the Rfam family "Bacterial small subunit ribosomal RNA", at positions 340 to 774 of the family's 1533-position model. The record is from RNAcentral.